Non-coding RNA from Triticum urartu, 1688 nucleotides. The record is from RefSeq and is a predicted model, not a curated record. Lineage: Eukaryota; Viridiplantae; Streptophyta; Magnoliopsida; Poales; Poaceae.
UCCACCUCCACCCAGAGCCGCCGACUCCUCUCCCUCUCACCUCCCGAUUCAGAUCCAUGUCCAGCCUCCCUCCACGCGUGGCUGCCGAUCUCCAGCGCCGCCGCGCCAACCAUCUCCUGCUCCACCUCCGUCUCCCACCCUCUCUCGCUCCGCCACCACCCCCACUCUCUCCGACUCCCCCUCCCCCUGUGUAGCCUCCUCCGUUCCGCGAUGGGGCGGCCGUAGCGGCUCUCCUAGAUCUAUGUCAAGGGAAGCCCCCUACUCGUCGUCAUGGGCGCGAUGGUCAUGAGGAAAGUGGUUUAGGACGGCUAGAUGGAAGUUGUAGCCUACCCGCUGCCCAGGACAAGGAUGGAUGCCCUGACGCUCCCCCUUCUUCAAAAUCUCGCGCUGGGAGAGGAGGUGGUGGCCACUGUUUUCUUCGGCACUCCUCGGCCUUAUCCACAUCGCCACAGGUGACCUCGCCAGACCACUCGCUGUGAAGGUGGAGGAGAUAGCUAAAGUCGAGGGUGUUGUUGAUGACAUAAAAGGUGUUUAUAAAAUAGAGUCUUGUGAAGAACAAAGGAUACAAUAUAGAAAGGAUGUUCCCUCACACAUGACAGUAGCUGCACGGCCUAUGAACGAUGUUCCCUCCCCAACAACGCCUUUGUGAGCAUGCUCGCUGUUGGCGCUGUCAUGGCAGAAUCGUGCAAGCAUCGGCCAUGCAGGCACUGUGGUUGUGAUUGUUAUGCUGGGAAUGAUGUUCCUCAUGGUCCCAGUAAUGCUGUUAGUAUGGAAGAGGCACCGGAUCCUUGUUUUCGCAUUCCUUAAGCUCUUGUUGAUGGAGGAUAAAUGGAAAUAAGUGAUCAUCUAGUGGAGACAGAGCAGGUAACAUUGUGAGUAGGCCUUUUGGCCUGUUUACUUUUUGAUUGGAUCAGGCGUUCAUGUAAACAUGAUAGCUCCAAAUCUUGUUUCAAGAGUGAGUAGUUCGCCGAAACUGCAUUUUAAUAAAUAGGGGUUACUUCUCAAAUCUAAGAAAUUUAAAACCAAUCCUCAUUGCUGACUGGCAGUGUAUAUACAGUAAUGGUAUAUGAAGAUGAACUUGGCAAAAACUCAGCUUUUACCUUCGAAAUAUAUGUACAGAAUUUCCAGAUCUAAUCUGAAAUGUCAAUUAGGAAAUGCUGAGCAUUAUCUUUGACCUUUGAAACCAACAACCUACUGUAUGGACAAACACAAAUCAUACUACUGUCCUUUGUUUAGAAAUGCUGAGCAUUAUUUUGUUAGUGGGUUUAUAUGGCCUCAACUUCUGCUACUGUAGUACUUGAGUUUUGUGAUGUGUGUUUGUUAGUCAUUUGAAUUUCAUUCGGCACACUUCUCUCUGGUGACCGCUUCCUCUCUGAAUCUUUAACCCUAUUUUUCUCUAAAUUUAUUCUGUAUCUUGUACAAUGCAGGAUAACAAGUACAGACAACCUGCAGGGUACCAAGUAGAGGCAAACCGCAGGGUACAAGUACAGACACUAUGGUAUGUUGCUGUCCAUCAGAAUCCGCCAUGCCAUAUAGUUGCCAUCAGGAGGGUUGACAACAAGAACACGAGUGACAACCUUUGUAGUUAUAUGUUUUGUCAAUGUAAAUUGGAUUGUACCGGUUCCUAAUCCUAUGGAUGGUUGCAUAUUGAGUGAUUUUGUCAAUAUAUGGUGUAUAUUAUCAUUUCA